UNUGACUUGAGUGCAGAAGGGGAGAGUGGAAUUCCAUGUGUAGCGGUGAAANGCGUAGAUAUAUGGAGGAACACCAGUGGCGAAAGCGGCUCUNUGGUCUGUCACUGACGCUGAGGCUCGAAAGCGUGGGUAGCGAACAGGAUUAGAUACCCUGGUAGUNCACGCCGUAAACGAUGAGUGCUAGGUGUUAGGCCCUUUCCGGGGCUUAGUGCCGGAGCUAACGCAAUAAGCACUCCGCCUGGGGAGUACGACCGCAAGGUUGAAACUCAAAGGAAUUGACGGGGGCCCGCACAAGCGGUGGAGCAUGUGGUUUAAUUNGAAGCAACGCGAAGAACCUUACCAGGUCUUGACAUCCCGAUGCUAUUCUUAGAGAUAGGAAGUUACUUCGGUACAUCGGAGACAGGUGGUGCAUGGUUGUCGUCAGCUCGUGUCGUGAGAUGUUGGGUUAAGUCCCGCAACGAGCGCAACCCUUAUUGUUAGUUGCCAUCAUUAAGUUGGGCACUCUAGCGAGACUGCCGGUAAUAAACCGGAGGAAGGUGGGGAUGACGUCAAAUCAUCAUGCCCCUUAUGACCUGGGCUACACACGUGCUACAAUGGUCGGUACAACGAGUUGCGAGCCGGUGACGGCAAGCUAAUCUCUGAAAGCCGAUCUCAGUUCGGAUUGGAGGCUGCAACUCGCCUCCAUGAAGUCGGAAUCGCUAGUAAUCGCGGAUCAGCACGCCGCGGUGAAUACGUUCCCGGGCCUUGUACACACCGCCCGUCACACCACGAGAGUUUGUAACACCCGAAGUCGGUGAGGUANCCUUUUAGGG
Molecule: ribosomal RNA, 812 nt
Filed under: uncultured bacterium
Lineage: Bacteria
Description: bacterial SSU rRNA
Rfam family: Bacterial small subunit ribosomal RNA
Source: RNAcentral